RNAcentral lists this ribosomal RNA (997 nucleotides) under uncultured bacterium. RNAcentral's name for it is "bacterial SSU rRNA". It matches the Rfam family "Bacterial small subunit ribosomal RNA", at positions 355 to 1375 of the family's 1533-position model. The record is from RNAcentral. RNAcentral also lists the same sequence under 1 other name.
UGGGGGAUAUUGCACAAUGGGGGAAACCCUGAUGCAGCGACGCCGCGUGGAGGAAGAAGGUUUUCGGAUUGUAAACUCCUGUCGUUAGGGACGAUAAUGACGGUACCUAACAAGAAAGCACCGGCUAACUACGUGCCAGCAGCCGCGGUAAAACGUAGGGUGCAAGCGUUGUCCGGAAUUACUGGGUGUAAAGGGAGCGCAGGCGGGAAGACAAGUUGGAAGUGAAAACCAUGGGCUCAACCCAUGAAUUGCUUUCAAAACUGUUUUUCUUGAGUAGUGCAGAGGUAGAUGGAAUUCCCGGUGUAGCGGUGGAAUGCGUAGAUAUCGGGAGGAACACCAGUGGCGAAGGCGGUCUACUGGGCACCAACUGACGCUGAGGCUCGAAAGCAUGGGUAGCAAACAGGAUUAGAUACCCUGGUAGUCCAUGCCGUAAACGAUGAUUACUAGGUGUUAGGGGAUUGACCCCCUCAGUGCCGCAGUUAACACAAUAAGUAAUCCACCUGGGGAGUACGACCGCAAGGUUGAAACUCAAAGGAAUUGACGGGGGCCCGCACAAGCAGUGGAGUAUGUGGUUUAAUUCGAAGCAACGCGAAGAACCUUACCAGGUCUUGACAUCCGAUGCAUAGCACAGAGAUGUGUGAAAUCCUUCGGGACAUCGAGACAGGUGGUGCAUGGUUGUCGUCAGCUCGUGUCGUGAGAUGUUGGGUUAAGUCCCGCAACGAGCGCAACCCUUAUUGCCAGUUACUACGUUAAGAGGACUCUGGCGAGACUGCCGUUGACAAAACGGAGGAAGGUGGGGAUGACGUCAAAUCAUCAUGCCCUUUAUGACCUGGGCUACACACGUACUACAAUGGCGUUAAACAAAGAGAAGCAAGACCGCGAGGUGGAGCAAAACUCAAAAACAACGUCUCAGUUCAGAUUGCAGGCUGCAACUCGCCUGCAUGAAGUCGGAAUUGCUAGUAAUCGCGGAUCAGCAUGCCGCGGUGAAUACGUUCCC